AUUGAACGCUGGCGGCAUGCCUUACACGUGCAAGUCGAACGGUAACGGGCCUUCGGGUGCCGACGAGUGGCGAACGGGUGAGUAAUACAUCGGAACGUGCCCGAUCGUGGGGGAUAACGAGGCGAAAGCUUUGCUAAUACCGCAUACGAUCUACGGAUGAAAGCAGGGGACCGCAAGGCCUUGCGCGGACGGAGCGGCCGAUGGCAGAUUAGGUAGUUGGUGGGAUAAAAGCUUACCAAGCCGACGAUCUGUAGCUGGUCUGAGAGGAUGAUCAGCCACACGGGGACUGAGACACGGCCCAGACGCCUACGGGAGGCAGCAGUGGGGAAUUUUGGACAAUGGGCGCAAGCCUGAUCCAGCCAUGCCGCGUGCAGGAUGAAGGCCUUCGGGUUGUAAACUGCUUUUGUACGGAACGAAAAGCCUUCUUUUAAUACAGGAGGGUCAUGACGGUACCGUAAGAAUAAGCACCGGCUAACUACGUG
Molecule: ribosomal RNA, 482 nt
Filed under: uncultured bacterium
Lineage: Bacteria
Description: partial 16S ribosomal RNA
Rfam family: Bacterial small subunit ribosomal RNA
Source: RNAcentral